This 607-nucleotide long non-coding RNA is filed under the name Brassica rapa (field mustard). RNAcentral's name for it is "long non-coding RNA (BRAP_LNC006468)". The record is from RNAcentral. Lineage: Eukaryota; Viridiplantae; Streptophyta; Magnoliopsida; Brassicales; Brassicaceae.
GAAGACUUCUUUAUAAGUCUUCUCGUUCAGUAGAUCUUAAAAAUAAUUUAAAUUUUUUAUAAAAACUAUUUUGAUGGAAAAGAUAUUGAAAUCAUGUAAUAAUAAACAUUUCUAAAUGAUGUAAAUUUAUUUUUACUAAAAUUGAAUUAUUUUCAACAUAGAUGAGUGAAAGUAGAUUAACUCAUGAUAGUCUUUGGUUUAGGGUUUGGUUACAUAUAUUAUAAUAUUGUUGUAAUAUUUAGGGUUAGAUUUUGAAAUCUUAUCUUUUGUUUUUUAAUUUUUUUUUACCUAUAUGUGUUUAGUGAUUAUCUAAUAACUUGAUUUAAACACUUUCUAAGUAUCUUAAAAGUUUAAGGAAGUGUUUUUUUUUUUUUUAGUUAUUUGAUUAUUGGGCCUGGAAGACUCACAGAAGACUUCCCAAGAAGUCUUCUAACGUAUCCCACCUAAAUUUUAGUAUAAUUUAGGUUUUCCACCUAAAUCGAAGUCUUCCAGAAGUUUUCUAGGAGAAGUCUUCUCAUGUAUUGGAUCUUAAAAGUAAUUAAUAAAUUUUAUAAAAAAUAUUUUGAAAAAAAAGAAAAAAUAAAAAUCAUGUAUUAAUAAACAUUAC